Molecule: unclassified non-coding RNA, 2594 nt
Filed under: Portunus trituberculatus (swimming crab)
Lineage: Eukaryota; Metazoa; Arthropoda; Malacostraca; Decapoda; Portunidae
Description: protein spinster-like, transcript variant X6
Source: RNAcentral
CAGCAGCCAUGACGGUUCAGUGGCGGAGUGACCUUCAAAGGGGGUGUACGUGCGGAACAGCUCUCUAAGCCCAUGUGACUGAGAAUACCACUUAGGUUUACUCCCCACAAGUGCAGUGCUAGUGAAACGUGCCACUUACUUACCAUUCACUGACUUAUGGUGUUGGAAUUGCCUGAAAGGACGCGACUGAACAAUUAGAGAGGUAUAAAUGCCACCACACAACAUACAGAACAGGAACUCCCUCAAACUAACAGAGAUGGAGGAGGAAGGUCUUCGCGCUAACCUCUCCCACCAAGAGCUAAUACCCGGGAUGGCGCCGUCGGUAACUGUGGUCACGCCUGCAGAUACAAGAGGGGGCGAUGAUGUUGCCGACCCUUCCUCCUGCGAGCUCUCUACCCCUCCGCGCGGCACCAGCGUCAGCAAGAAGCAGCUGAUGGUGGUGAUUAUCCUCUUCUACGUGAACCUCAUUAAUUACAUGGACAGAUUCACCGUGGCAGGCAUCCUAUAUGACAUACAAAUAUGCUUCGGUCUGUCGGACACCCAGUCAGGGCUGCUGCAAACUGCCUUCGUGCUGGUGUAUAUGGUAAUGGCGCCACUCUUUGGUUACCUGGGCGACCGCUACUCCAGGAAGAACCUCAUGGCUGUGGGCAUCUUCUUCUGGAGCCUCGCAACUCUCCUUGGGUCCUUCAUGCCUAACUACGCUUUGUUCCUGCUGUUCCGGUGCCUGGUGGGUGUGGGUGAGGCAAGCUACUCCACUAUCGCCCCCACCAUCAUCUCAGACCUCUUUGUCAGUGACACCAGGUCCAAGAUGCUGGCCGUCUUCUACUUCGCCAUCCCUGUCGGCAGUGGCCUGGGGUACAUCAUAGGGGCAGAAGUGACAGAGCUUGCCAGGGUGGGUGAGACAGACUGGGAGGCGUGGCGGUGGGGCCUCCGUGUGACACCCGUGAUGGGUCUCCUGGCACUGGCACUCAUCCUGUUCCUGGUGCACGACCCACCCAGGGGCAGCAGUGAGGGAGGCCAGCACCUCCAGGCCACCUCCUUCCUCAGUGACCUCCGUUAUUUGUUCUUAAACAAGAGUUUUGUCCUCUCCACUCUGGCCUUCACCUGCGUGACCUUCGUGGCUGGGGCACUGGCGUUCUGGGGCCCUAUCUUCACCAAGCUGGGUGUGAUGGUGCAGGACCACCCCAAUGCCAAGGCAGAUGAUGUGUCGUUUGUGUUUGGAGCAAUUGCCAUGUCAGCAGGUCUCCUUGGGGUACCACUGGGCUCCUUCGCAGGCCAGAAGCUGCGUGUCAAACUGCCCUAUGCGGACCCCCUGGUGUGCGGCCUUGGCUUGCUGUUCUCCGUUCCUCUGAUCCUUGGUGCAAUGGUGCUGGCUGAGUGGAACACCAUCGGUUCAUAUAUUGUGGUGUUCUUUGGCCAAGUGUUCCUCAACUUAAACUGGGCUGUGGUGUCUGAUAUUGUUUUGUACAUUGUGAUCCCCACUAGGAGGUCAUCCGCUGAAGCCUUCCAGAUCCUCUUUUCCCACGCCCUUGGUGAUGCUGGCAGCCCAUCUCUCAUUGGUGUGGUCGCCGAUGCAUUCAAGCCUUACAUAAAAGUAAAUGGAAGCACAUCUUACCUUGCCCCGGAGGAUUACGACAUCGCCAACUUUACCUCAUCUGACCUCACCACCCUGGACACUUUCAAUACCACCACCACCACCCCAGCGCCAGACCUCAACAAUGACUAUAUUGAGUUUAAGUCAAAGCAGUACGCGUUGUUCUUGUGCUGCAUUGUCAACAUCUUCGGCGCCGUCUUCUUCUUCUGGAACUCUUGCUACAUCGCCGAGGACAAGGCCAGGUGUGACCGCAUCAUUGCAGGUGAAGAGGAAGUAGAUGGCAGGGGUGGCAGUCGCCCGGCAUAUACAGGGACUGUGGCGGAAGGCUGUGUCAAUGGAGGGAUGACAGAGAGCCAGGAGGGACAGAAUGACACCUCCAGUAAAACACCUACCUCUACCUCACCUUAUGCAUAACCUACCUCCUGCAGCAGUAUUUAUCUCCUGAUUUAAUUUAAGUGUACCUAGCUGUAACUUGAUGAUGGUUCAGUGUGUGUGUGUGUGUGUGUGUGUGUGUAUGUGUGUAUGAGUUAAGCUUAUUCUGUCCAUUCUCAUAUGAAGGAACCACUGUCAAGCCGUUUGUACAUUGAAUCGACUUUGGUGGAGGUUAUUGGUUUAUCUGUCUAGUAUUUAUUAUUAUUGUUUUAUGUGCUAUAUUUUUUAUGGAUUAUAGUGGCAGUUUUGUUGGUUCUAGGUGAGAUCAUUAUGGUGCUCAGGCUUUGUUUCCAGUAAUAGUUUAACCAGGAUUCUGUAUCAUGAGACUAAUAAUCUGUGGUCCAAAAUGUAAUGCUUAUAUAAGAGUUCAUUGAUUGACUGGCGGUGACUGUGGUGCUUUCAGUCAGUCAUGAUACACCACAUCUAUUUCAACUGAUAUAUCUGAACCAUCAUCUGUUUGAGCUGAGAGAGAACUGUACAUAUUGUGUAUACUCCUGUUAAUUUAUUACAGGAUUAUACACAAUGCUAUGGGGAUGGCCUCUUAAUAAAAUGAAGUAUAUUGGUACAA